GACGAACGCUGGCGGCGUGCCUAAUACAUGCAAGUCGAACGCACUCUCGUUAGAUUGAAGAAGCUUGCUUCUGAUUGAUAACAUUUGAGUGAGUGGCGGACGGGUGAGUAACACGUGGGUAACCUGCCCUAAAGUGGGGGAUAACAUUUGGAAACAGAUGCUAAUACCGCAUAAAACCUAGCACCGCAUGGUGCAAGGUUGAAAGAUGGUUUCGGCUAUCACUUUAGGAUGGACCCGCGGUGCAUUAGUUAGUUGGUGAGGUAAAGGCUCACCAAGACCGUGAUGCAUAGCCGACCUGAGAGGGUAAUCGGCCACACUGGGACUGAGACACGGUCCAGACUCCUACGGGAGGCAGCAGUAGGGAAUCUUCCACAAUGGACGAAAGUCUGAUGGAGCAACGCCGCGUGAGUGAAGAAGGUUUUCGGAUCGUAAAACUCUGUUGUUGGAGAAGAACGUAUUUGAUAGUAACUGAUCAGGUAGUGACGGUAUCCAACCAGAAAGCCACGGCUAACUACGUG
Molecule: ribosomal RNA, 518 nt
Filed under: Latilactobacillus curvatus
Lineage: Bacteria; Bacillati; Bacillota; Bacilli; Lactobacillales; Lactobacillaceae
Description: bacterial SSU rRNA
Rfam family: Bacterial small subunit ribosomal RNA
Source: RNAcentral